Molecule: ribosomal RNA, 402 nt
Filed under: uncultured bacterium
Lineage: Bacteria
Description: partial 16S ribosomal RNA
Rfam family: Archaeal small subunit ribosomal RNA
Source: RNAcentral
ACACCGGCAGCUCAAGUGGUAGCCGCUUUUAUUGGGCCUAAAGCGUCCGUAGCCGGUCUGAUAAGUCUCUGGUGAAAUCCCACAGCUUAACUGUGGGAAUUGCUGGAGAUACUAUCAUGACUCGAGGUCGGGAGAGGCUGGAGGUACUCCCAGGGUAGGGGUGAAAUCCUGUAAUCCUGGGAGGACCACCUGUGGCGAAGGCGUCCAGCUGGAACGAACCUGACGGUGAGGGACGAAAGCCAGGGGCGCGAGCCGGAUUAGAUACCCGGGUAGUCCUGGCCGUAAACGAUGUGGACUUGGUGUUGGGAUGGCUUCGAGCUGCCCCAGUGCCGAAGGGAAGCUGUUAAGUCCACCGCCUGGGAAGUACGGCCGCAAGGCUGAAACUUAAAGGAAUUGGCGGGG